This 253-nucleotide ribosomal RNA is filed under the name uncultured bacterium. RNAcentral describes it as "partial 16S ribosomal RNA". It matches the Rfam family "Bacterial small subunit ribosomal RNA", at positions 524 to 776 of the family's 1533-position model. The record is from RNAcentral.
UACAGAGGUCUCAAGCGUUGUUCGGAUUCAUUGGGCGUAAAGGGUGCGUAGGCGGCGCGGUAAGUCGGGUGUGAAAUUUCGAGGCUUAACUUCGAAACUGCAUUCGAUACUGCCGUGCUAGAGGACUGGAGAGGAGACUGGAAUUUACGGUGUAGCGGUGAAAUGCGUAGAUAUCGUAAGGAAGACCAGUGGCGAAGGCGGGUCUCUGGACAGUUCCUGACGCUGAGGCACGAAGGCCAGGGGAGCAAGCGGG